RNAcentral lists this ribosomal RNA (318 nucleotides) under uncultured eukaryote. RNAcentral's name for it is "partial 18S ribosomal RNA". It matches the Rfam family "Eukaryotic small subunit ribosomal RNA", at positions 1470 to 1796 of the family's 1831-position model. The record is from RNAcentral.
CCCUUAGAUGUUCUGGGCCGCACGCGUGCUACACUGAGUGGAUCAGCGGGUCAGGUUGCGCGAAAGCGUUUCCUAAUCUUUAAAUCCGCUCGUGAUGGGGAUUGACGGUUGCAAUUUUCUGUCAUGAACGAGGAAUACCUUGUAAGCGCGGGUCAUCAUCCCGCGCUGAAUACGUCCCUGCCCUUUGUACACACCGCCCGUCGCUCCUACCGAUUGGAUGAUCCGGUGAGCUAUUCGGACCUUCGCUUCGUCGAUUUUCGGCUUUGUGAGGGAAAGUCUCGCGAACCUUAUCAUCUAGAGGAAGGAGAAGUCGUAACA